AACUGAAAAAGGCAAACUUGUUGAAAAGCAAGGACGCAAAGCUAUGGGCCUACCCGAUUUCGAAUGGUCGCCAGGCUGCCAGG
This 83-nucleotide non-coding RNA is filed under the name Bacillus sp. V-88. Its description in RNAcentral is "GEMM cis-regulatory element". It matches the Rfam family "c-di-GMP-I-GGC riboswitch aptamer". The record is from RNAcentral. Lineage: Bacteria; Bacillati; Bacillota; Bacilli; Caryophanales; Bacillaceae.